This 626-nucleotide ribosomal RNA is filed under the name uncultured bacterium. RNAcentral's name for it is "bacterial SSU rRNA". It matches the Rfam family "Bacterial small subunit ribosomal RNA", at positions 60 to 692 of the family's 1533-position model. The record is from RNAcentral.
AGUCGAGCGGGGAUGUACUGAAGAUUUAUCGGAUGUACAUCUUAGCGGCGGACGGGUGAGUAACGCGUGGGCAACCUGCCUUCCACUGGGGGAUAACACAGGGAAACCUGUGCUAAUACCGCAUGACAUCACAUAGGGCAUCCUGUGUGAUCAAAGGAGUGAUCCGGUGGAAGAUGGGCCCGCGUCCGAUUAGCUAGUUGGUGAGGUAACGGCUCACCAAGGCGACGAUCGGUAGCCGGACUGAGAGGUUGGCCGGCCACAUUGGGACUGAGACACGGCCCAGACUCCUACGGGAGGCAGCAGUGGGGAAUAUUGCGCAAUGGGGGGAACCCUGACGCAGCGACGCCGCGUGAAGGAAGAAGGCCUUCGGGCUGUAAACUUCUUUGAUGAGGGACGAAGGAAGUGACGGUACCUCAAAACCAAGCCACGGCUAACUACGUGCCAGCAGCCGCGGUAAUACGUAGGUGGCGAGCGUUGUCCGGAAUUACUGGGUGUAAAGGGCGUGUAGGCGGGGAUGCAAGUCAGAUGUGAAAUACCGCGGCUUAACCGCGGGGCUGCAUCUGAAACUGUGUCUCUUGAGUGUCGGAGAGGAAAGCGGAAUUCCCAGUGUAGCGGUGAAAUGCGUA